Molecule: ribosomal RNA, 492 nt
Filed under: uncultured bacterium
Lineage: Bacteria
Description: partial 16S ribosomal RNA
Rfam family: Bacterial small subunit ribosomal RNA
Source: RNAcentral
AGUGAACGCUGGCGGUAGGCCUAACACAUGCAAGUCGAACGGCAGCACAGUAAGAGCUUGCUCUUACGGGUGGCGAGUGGCGGACGGGUGAGGAAUACAUCAGAAUCUACUUUUUCGUGGGGGAUAACGUAGGGAAACUUACGCUAAUACCGCAUACGACCUACGGGUGAAAGCAGGGGAUCUUCGGACCUUGCGCGAUUGAAUGAGCCGAUGUCGGAUUAGCUAGUUGGCGGGGUAAAGGCCCACCAAGGCGACGAUCCGUAGCUGGUCUGAGAGGAUGAUCAGCCACACUGGAACUGAGACACGGUCCAGACUCCUACGGGAGGCAGCAGUGGGGAAUAUUGGACAAUGGGCGCGAGCCUGAUCCAGCCAUACCGCGUGGGUGAAGAAGGCCUUCGGGUUGUAAAGCCCUUUUGUUGGGAAAGAAAAGCAGCAGGUUAAUACCCCGCUGUUCUGACGGUACCCAAAGAAUAAGCACCGGCUAACUUCGUG